AAUAAGUGCAGCAAUGAGUUUUCGCGUCUAAUUUUGAUCGUCCGUCUUAUUUGAAAUUUUUUUAUAAUUAGUAUUUUUGUUGUUAUAAGAUGAUAAAACAUGAAUAGUACUUUACUCGUGACUUAUGUUUUUAAUUCUUUUUAAAAAAAAUUCAAAUAAGACGAACAGUUAAAAUUGAGCGCGGAAAACCAUGGCUGCACUUAUU
This is a microRNA precursor of Oryza sativa Indica Group (long-grained rice), 205 nucleotides long. It matches the Rfam family "MIR812 microRNA precursor family". The record is from Rfam. NCBI's taxonomy places the organism in Eukaryota, Viridiplantae, Streptophyta, Magnoliopsida, Poales, Poaceae.